RNAcentral lists this long non-coding RNA (663 nucleotides) under Olea europaea (common olive). Its description in RNAcentral is "long non-coding RNA (OEUR_LNC010912)". Lineage: Eukaryota; Viridiplantae; Streptophyta; Magnoliopsida; Lamiales; Oleaceae. The record is from RNAcentral.
CUUCACUGAAGCUCCUUCAAUGCUUGUGCCAAACCUUACAUCAUCGAGAUCCGUCAGGGAGGCAAUACACGAGGUGCAAAUGGUGCAGGUAUGCAUUUUCUGUAAUUAGGGAAAUUCAGGACAAUUAGACGUCUAAGAUAUGCAGAAACAUCAACACCCUGUUGCAAUAACAAUGGACCUUACUUUCAUUUUAUAGCGUAAAGAUACGAUUGAACGCUAACUGGAAGAAACUUCUGAACAUUUAAGUACACUGCCAAUCAAUGGAAGUAAGGAACUAAUUAAUGAAAAGAGAAUUAAGAUAGAGAUAAAGAUUUAAGGACUUACUGAAUAAUUGAAUUUUAAAAACUAACGUGUCAUAGAGUAGUUAACUAUCUAGUUCCUUUAAAUCUUCCAGUAGAUUGAAUAAUGACCCAAAUAAAGUUACAGAAACAGAUUGAAUAAUGUUUGUCACGAAAAAUAAAUGUAUGGUUUCUUUUAUUUUGCAAAAAAUGUAACAGGUAUGGGGAAGCACCAUGAAAUUAUGCGAACAGAGAGGCAAGGAACUAUUGGAUACAAAUGUGAUAACAACAGCUGACCUCAAUGAUUGGUUGAAAGCAAAGAACACAAAUGAUGCAUCCAUUGUUGCCGUUGGAUUGCCCUGUUUCUCAUUUUUGCAGACGAUAC